This is a long non-coding RNA of Vidua macroura (Pin-tailed whydah), 497 nucleotides long. RefSeq lists it as uncharacterized. The transcript has 3 exons. Lineage: Eukaryota; Metazoa; Chordata; Aves; Passeriformes; Viduidae. The record is from RefSeq and is a predicted model, not a curated record.
GCCCGCCCCACACAGUCACAGAGGGGCCAGCCUGGCUGGAGCUCCCAGGCAGGGGGUGCUGCCCACACCCAGCCCCACUCCCAGCACGGCUCGGGGUGUGCUGGAAGCCCUCGCCAGCAGCAAUCAUGGUUAUGCAAGGCAGGAGCUUGACAGAGUGCCAGUUCUGCAUGCUGAAAAUUGAAAGCGAUCGACUUCCACCUUGCGCAUCAGGAUGCUCAGUUCUACCAGGCAGGAUGCUCCUCCUGGGAGCAGGACUGGCAGACCAGGAAAGCCCAGGAGUUAGCAGAGAAGAUUUCCUGAAGGAAUCUCAUCUGUAUGAGGAAUCCUUGGGUGCAGGGCCAAACCAGCACGUGGUUUCAGGAGCCCAAACAAAAUUAGGGAAGAAAAAGGUGCAAAUAUCCCAGGAAUGUGCCCAGCAGUCUUUUGUGAGGAUUGGACAUAUCAAGCUGUUUGAGAGAUGCAGACAUAAAUUCACACCUAAUACUAGUGGAGCGAUG